UACGUAGGGUCCAAGCGUUAUCCGGAUUUAUUGGGCGUAAAGCACAUGUAGGUGGUUCGCCAAGUCUAGGCUUAAAUCUCCGGGCUCAACCCGGAAUCUGGCCAAGAUACUGGCGGGCUAGUGGUCAGCAGGGGCAAACGGAAUUCCCGGUGUAGGAGUGAAAUCCGUUGAUAUCGGGAGGAACACCAAUGGCGAAGGCAGUUUGCUAGGCUGAUUCAGACACUGAGAUGUGAAAGCGUGGGGAGCGAACGGG
Molecule: ribosomal RNA, 253 nt
Filed under: uncultured bacterium
Lineage: Bacteria
Description: partial 16S ribosomal RNA
Rfam family: Bacterial small subunit ribosomal RNA
Source: RNAcentral